Rattus norvegicus (Norway rat) is the source of this 5780-nucleotide long non-coding RNA. RefSeq lists it as uncharacterized. The record is from RefSeq and is a predicted model, not a curated record. NCBI's taxonomy places the organism in Eukaryota, Metazoa, Chordata, Mammalia, Rodentia, Muridae.
GCUGGCCGCUGCCGGGUGCUGGGUGCGCGGCGUCCCGUGUACCGUGUGUUCCGCCUUUCUGUUCCAGACCCUGUCUUUUUCUUUUCACAUGUAUCCUUUAGUUUCCCGCUGACCGCACCAGCCGGGGCUGGUCUCAGGUACCUCUCCUCCCCCCAUCCCUCUUAUGGGGGCCGUCCGCUCAGGCGCCAGCUGGCGUGACGAUGUGGUGUCCGUGUGCUUACGCGACUUGUCCCCGGGAUGUGGGAGCUGGAAGGGAUAGAGAGGUCGCCGGCCCCGGCCUGGGAUCCCGGCACCAUCUCGCUCUACUCUCCGUCCUUCUGCCUGCGGCCGCGCGCACCCUCCUUUCCUCCUUCCCUUCUCGACCACGACCUCAGAUCAGAUGUGGCGACCCGCUGAAUUUAAGCAUAUUACUCAGCGGAGGAAAAGAAACUAACCCGGAUUCCCUCUGUAAUGGGGAGUGAACAGGGAAGAACCCAGCGCCGAAUCCCCGCUGCGUGCCGUGGCGCGUGAAAUGUGGCGUACGGAAGACCCACUCCCCGGCGCCGCUCAUGGGGGCCUAAGUCCUUCUGAUUGAGGCCCAGCCCUUGGAUGGUGUGAGGCCAAUAGCGGGCCCAGGCGUGCCAGGCCUGGAUCUUCCAGGAGUCGGGUUGCUUCGUAAUGCAGCCCAAAGCGGGUGGUAAACUCCUUUUAAGGCUAAAUACCGGCGGGAGACCGAUAGCCAACAAGUACUGUAAGGAAAAGUUGAAAAGAACAUUGAAGAGAGAGUUCAAGAGGGCGUGAAGCCAUUAAGAGGUGAACACUUUCCAGGCCAUUCUGGCAUCCGAUGAAUGUGAUUCCUAUGCCCUCUUUCUCUAUCCUCCCAAUGGUCUUCAGUUUUUGGAACUCACCCCAAAGAAUCCUACAUUGUCCAGCCGCAGCUUCCUGUUAAGGUGGGAUUCUGCCAAGGGGAAGCAGAUGAUGUGAAGAGAAAAGCCCUGUAUUUCAGCCUGACUAACAGUGAGCAGUCGGUGAAGAAUCUCUACCAGUAGAAAGCCUCUUCGGGACCCUGAAUAACUGGGUCCCCACUGGCGGGGAAAAGUGGCGCCCGAACAGGGACCCGGAAGCGAGGCCGACUACAGGACGAAGGAGAUAAGAGAGCUGCAGCGGGAAUCAAGGACUCUUCAGGCCGCAUUGCUCGUGCAUCGCUGGAGAGGGAGGUAAGGACCGGUCAAAUAAUUGUCGUCUAAUUGCCAUGGGGAAGGUAUGGAUUUAGGAGGCUUGUUUCAUAGGAGAGAUCAAGCGCUCACUCAGGGAGAGAGGAUUAAGAGUUAAGAAAAAGGAUUUAAUCAAGUUUUUUUGUUUUAUUGAUGAAAGGUGUCCCUGGUUAAUUUUAAGCAGUGUGGGGCUAGCUUAAGUAAAACUUGUAAUAAAAAAGGGACAAGGUAAUGGUAAAGUGUUUUUGCAUAUGCGUUCUUUUAGAGUUAUAUUUUAGUCUUUGGAACCUGACUAGAGAUAGUUUACACCCUAGACAUGAGAGAGAAUGGGUUUGGGAAAAACAGUCCUCCCGGACUCUCCACGGAUGCUUUGGAGAAAUAGAAAAACUUUUCGGGGCUCUCCUGGGAACAGAAGAAAGGCAGGAGACAUCCUGCCUCUCUGCUGGCUCCUAUUGGAGAAAUGCUUAUUUCUGGUUCUGGGUUCCAUAGGUAGGAUAUGUGGGUCCCUUUGGGUGGGACACCAUCUAGUUUUUUCCCUCUAUGUCUAUUGUGUGUCCUUAGUGCACCAAGCUAUUCAUGUCUGUCAGUUUAUGUCUGUGAUUUUUGUUUCUCGUUGUUUAAAUGUUUUAUGUUUCGUGUUCAAAAGAAAAAAUGGUAAAAACUUUAUCUGCCAGUCGUUCACACCUUGACUUGGUUUUACCUCGUUUCAAGAAGAGAACAAUAAAUAAAAAACAGUUUCAAUUGGCUUUUGGAACCUACAUCUGUAGCUAGAAGCCUAAGUCUGCUGGACAUGUAUAGCCACUUCAAUUUUGUUUCUGAUUGGUUUUAAAUGUAUAAAUAUGCUCUACAUGCCUUGGUUAUGUACUAUUGGCUUUUAAGUUAUUAGAUAUGGUUAAAAAGGUGUAACAUUGGUAACAGAAAGUUGGCUUAAAAUUAUAAUUUAGAUGAAGUCAUUCUAGAUAACAUGUGACAUGGGCCUGGUUGCCUUGUCACUGUUUGGCCUUAGCCUUAGAUUGUAGGAUCAAAAACCUCUCCCUGUAAUUUACCGCACAAGAAGUUUACAUUCAUGGAAUGUUUUCAGCCACAACAAGACACUUCUGGGUCUCCAACAAGGUUUGACCCCUGCUGAGCCCUGCCCUUGCAUGUGGAAGCUUUUUGUUCCCAACUGGCAGUCUGGCCAGGUACUUCUCACCUGAGUCAGAAUUAGGCUGGCCUUCCUGGUUAUUUCCCUAAUUUAUUCAGGCCCUUUGUUACCGAAGUCUCAGCCAGGGUUCCCCACUGUGCUUCGCAGAUACCUGCUAAGUGCUGUACUUUAGAUAUAUAGUUUGGUCCAUAAAGAAACCAGAGGCCUUUUCCUCUUCUGGCUUGACAGGAAGAAAAAAAAAAAGAAAAAAAAAUCAAACAGGUAGAGAUUGUUACAAGAAUUACGAAAGAUUGAUGAGGUUUUAGAACUUGUGAGAGCAUUACAGCCAGUUUGCUUACUCCAACUGCCAUUUCAAGAUAGAUUUAGAGGACUGAUUUUAUACAAUUUGUUUACGUCCUGGCCAUUGUGAGUUUUCAUUUCGUGAGCUUGCUUAUAAUUUUAGAGAGCCCACAAAGUGAUAUCAUUAAAAAUUUUACAAAAGAAUGGCUAAUAGCCUUAUAUUAUGUAAUUUUGUCGCUUCUUCAAUGUAAGAAGUUAGAACUUUAAAUCUUUAAGUGUAUAUAGACAUUUUUACUACAAACUUUUGCUCUCUAAAUGAGCUUUAAUAUUUGGGGAGUAGCUGUUAGACUACUCCAGAAAAGAGUAUUUAAAACUAAUUUUAAGCUACUAAGGAUAUGUUAGUUGGCUAUGUACCUCACCUUACCAGAGGACUUAGGUCUUUGUUUGUUAUCCUUAUUGGAGAUAAAGCUUCAGUUGUGUUAAUACAGAAUUGUAGGCUACAGUCAUGGAAGUAUUUUAAAAAGCCAAACAACAGUUAAUUGGUUAUUACAAAAUACUUAUAUUUGGCCUAUUACAUAUACAAAUUUUUCAGGCAAAAUUGAUAAUUUUACUCUUUACAUGCUUUUGUAUUUCCUAUAAAUUUGUACAUGCAACCCAUAGGAAAUGAGCUUCCUAUAUUUAUAGGUUUAGGGUUAGAGGUGGUUCAUCUAAUGAAAAGGCUACAUGUAUGAUUGGAUCACUUGUUUAUUCUCUUGAGUUUCUGCUGCUUCAGCACAGAUUAUUAAAUUCCUGGCUUUAGCCACUGUUUUUAUAAUGUUAAAAAAAAAAAACAAGCUUUCAAUUCAUAUACUGAUAGCCAAUUUGCUCCUUGUGGUUUACAAUUGAUUUCAAUUACUUAAUGCUUUAUUAAAGGCAGGUUUUCUACAUAAAAUCAGUGAGUGAUUUCAGUGUGACUGUCUGACAACUCACUGUCCUUUCAGUGCUCUGGCUCAGACAACUAAACAAAACCAUAGACCAAGCUCUUUGAAAAUGAUAAUGGAGUUGAUAACACUCCCUCACAAAUAGAGGAAGACUCCAUUUGCUUAAUUUCAACUCCCAGCCUCACCUUGCCGGCUCAGGGAUUUCUAGUACAGUAUUUAUAGGAUUUGGCAUCUCUAAUUAAUUCUUAUGUUUAGGUAAAUAAAGCUGGUGAGGGGCUGGAGAGAUGGCUUAGUGGUUAAGAGCACUAAGUACUGUUCCUUUAUAGGCCAUUUAAGAGCUCAGACUGGAUUGCCUAGACCCCUUAACAAGGGAGGACAAUGAUACCAGACAGAUUAUAGGCCUUACAUAGGAACAGUUAGUCAAAAAAUCUCAUUCUUUAUAUAUCCAAAACAGUAAUGCUGGAGACAAUAAUUUGGUAUAAAAGUCAAUUUAUAAAUACAAGUGCUCAGUGUCCUCAAUUUAAUCCUCAAGGACUUAUCUUAAUAAAUAAUAUUUUAACAAUAUUUUAGUAAAUAAAAAGGGGGAGUUAUCCCUGUAUGCUAAAAUAUGCUCCUUUUAUUUCAAUUUUAAAAUUUGGAUGCCAAGAAACACUCUGAGUUUAUGGCACCCUACAACUAAGCAUACUUCUGCCAAGGUGAAAUAGAAAGAUCCACACAUUGGCAUGAUCCUGUUCAGAUAUUUUAUAUGGGGAAGAGGGAAUCUUUGUGUUUUUUCUACAGGAUGCUACAGGAGUGUGCCAGCUGCCCGAGUGGCUGGUGAGACUUACUGAUCCUGGUAGCAUGAAGACUCAGCUCUCCUGGUUCGGGUCCCUGGAGUCAUUCCUGUGUCCUUGGAGGAAUAUGGAGGAUUCCCACUCAUCUUUUGUCAUCACAGAAAUUCUGGCGUUGCUGCAGUCAUUGUGUCCCGUCCCACCACAGCCUGCGCUCCGACCCUCUGUGCACUGUUGCUUGGUGGAAGCUGCUGUGGACUGGGGAACUCUGCCCUGGUUUUGCAGAUCUCAGACAUCGUUCCAUUGCCUGCUGGUUGUUCCAGAGAAGAAUGACCGAUCCUGAACUGAACUGGGAAAGACCUUGGCAUUUCUGCUGCUAUUGUAGCAGCCAUUACUGCUGCAGCCAUUGUGUCUGCAGUGUCUGGAGCUACCCUCCCCCAAUCAAUUGUUAGGCAAGCACAGUGGGUGAACUUUCUGGAGUAGUUGCUAACAAUUGGGAAUUCUAAAUUUUAUUACAGGAGAGGCUUGACUAGGUCCUUGGUGGUAUGGCCAUAGCAGCUGAGGAGAACCAGAUGAUGUGCCCACUACUUAUCGGGAGAGGCUCAAUUUCCACAAUCUUUUAUAUUAAUGCCAUCUGGCUCCUGCUCCUUUGCCCCUGGGCUCAAUCAAGUAAGAGGAAUGAGAAGAUGAUCCAAUGUAGCUUUCCUCAGUGACGGGCAACUUCCUCUGACCCUUGACCAAUCUAGACAUGGAGCGUUGAGGGCGACAAGGUGGUCCUAUGACAGAGAGGCUGGGGUUUGAGAGGUCGAUCCUAAGACAGAGGUGGCUACACCCCGUUUAAACGUGCGGGCCGGUCAAAUGCUCCUCUGCCCAGUUUCUCCCCCAAUAACACACACGUAUAGCCCAGAACGGUGUGUUACAGCAUAAGUUCAUUCCUAGCCAUUGGGGUGCAGUCCUAACUGCAAGAGUGGCUCACCAUGGCCGGGCUGGGCACUCUGUGAGGCAUGUCUGAUCUCUCUCAGACCACUAUUUCCACCUAAUGGUUUUUUUAAAAGAAAAAUGGGGGAGAUGCACGGAGCCAUAUUGGAUUUGGGCCUAGCCGCUUUUUGACUGCAUGGUUCAAAGUGACUAGGUAACUCUGGGCUGUUUGGCCACAGAGACUCACCCCUAAGAUGACUGCAUUAAGUCUUAAGAUUGUUGAAUGAAAGCCUCUCCCAUGAAUUUACGGCACAGGAAGAUAACAUUCAAGGGAUGCCUCAGCUCCCUUAGCAGAUACCUGUUACCUCCUGAAUCAACACCCAGUGUCUCCACCGCCUGACCUCAUCGUCUACCGCCUGACCUCUUUGCCUCCAGCUAUCACUGCCUAUACCCUCAUCUCCCCCCCUCCUUCAUAUUUCACAAAGGUCACUCCCCCUACCUGAAAGCCUUAAAAGCUGUAACGUUCAUCCCAAUAAACGAGACCUUGACAACAGAA